CUCAUCUCCUUUAAGAUCAAAUGGCUGGCAGUGGUGAUUAUGGGAGUGGUGUUACAGGGAGCCAAUCUCUACGGAUAUGUGCGCUGCAAAGUAGGAGCCAGAACAAACCUGAAGAACAUGGCCACAAAUUACCUUGGACGGCAGUUUCUCAAACAGGCUUUCACAAAACAAGAGGAGUCUUAGGAAGACAGAAUUCACGCCAGUUCCAUUGAUGAACUUCUAAUGCGUUAUUUUUUAAGAAAUUAAAUGAACUAAAAUGGUUACUGAUUUCUUUGAUUUAUUAAUUUUUUUUGUUAACCACAUCCUGUUAAAUAAUGUGUUUGACAUUUUAAAUACCUUUAACUUUAUAGUUUUUGUUUAAUAUCUAACUCAGAGUUCAGAGUAUGUGUUUUGUUAUAUAAUAUUGCAUGACAUCAUGCAUUAUGCUUCUAAAAAAGAUGUACAUAUUUAUAUACUGCUGUAAAUUACUGUAUACUUUCUUUAGGUACAUUUAGGAAAGUUGAUGAUUGAAUGAUUGAUUGUAUCUCAUGUUCAGUGAAUUUACGAAAUAAAUGAAGUUUUGUGUAAAACUGGAGCCACACUGAAUCUCAGGCCAGUGAAGUCACCCACAAACACCACACUGUCAAAGUCAAGUCCCUUUUAUA
Long non-coding RNA from Sinocyclocheilus rhinocerous, 644 nucleotides. RefSeq lists it as uncharacterized. NCBI's taxonomy places the organism in Eukaryota, Metazoa, Chordata, Actinopteri, Cypriniformes, Cyprinidae. The transcript has 3 exons. The record is from RefSeq and is a predicted model, not a curated record.